This is a long non-coding RNA of Prosopis cineraria, 1256 nucleotides long. RefSeq lists it as uncharacterized. Lineage: Eukaryota; Viridiplantae; Streptophyta; Magnoliopsida; Fabales; Fabaceae. The transcript has 3 exons. The record is from RefSeq and is a predicted model, not a curated record.
CAAUUUUUUCUUCUUUCUUUUUUCUCCCUCUCACGUGUGCUCUUAUCUUUCUUCCACUUUCUUUUCUGUUACUCCACCUCCGGUGCCCUCUCAUUCUUUCCUGUUUCUUCAUCCGAUCUUUCCUCUCGGUUUUCAUUGGUUUCUUUCUUAGCUUCGCUUCCCCCCGUUAGUUUAUAUCAAUGGCCUCAUCUUUUACUAUAUCAACCCUGCUCUUCUGGUAGCCGCACCGCCGCUCUCUUUUCUCUUCGUGUCCGCCGGCCAUAUUUUGGUGAGUAGAUGCCCUCCAUUAUUUCCUCAAUCUGGAAGGAGAAAUGAAGUUCUUUGGGCUACCUUUGAUGCACAAAUCAACUAAAAGAGUUCAGCAUCCCAAGCUUCGAGCCUGUGUUUUUCGAAGCAUAUGGAGUAUCGUCAAAUCUGGUCAUCUGCUUGGAAUGUCAUCAAAUUCGCUCGCGUUGCUCUCCAUUUCUUGCUUCACUAUUCCUCGCUUUUUUCGUUAGAUUGAGGAGAAGACGUCUUCACGGUCGACCAGCUUUGGGUGACUCCACAUCUACUCUAAGAGACGUUGGCUUCUAGAUUCUCUUGCUUUUUUGCGAUUGGUCACCAUGACGGAGCGGCAUCAUCUUUGGCAAUUAUCUCAUCACAGUUUUUUUAGAGUGACGAAUGGAAGCUGGAAUGAUGCAGGGUAUCACGCUCAAAAUGUUCAUUGGUACAUUUAGUGCAAGAAUGUGCAAUAACAGUUCUUUUACACCUGUCAAAGAGUGCACGAUUCACUAUCAAAGGAAUCUCUUGCUAUAAUUGUGGUGACGUCAUUGCUGGGAUAAUUUGGAACUCUGAGGAUUAGUGGAUCUGUGGAUUUACUGCUUUGAACAUGUCUUUACCUCCAGCUAUUGCUGAAAUUAAUGCUGUAAGGUUGGGGUGCCAAGUUUGCUACAACAAGGGUCUGCAUAAAUUUGGAGUUGCUAUACAAAAUGCCCUCUGUUGUAACCUCCUUGUCCAUGAAAAUUUGAUUGGUCACCCAUUUUGAGAUCAGUCAUGAUACCAAAUUGUUGCUGUCUAGGAUUGUUGGGAAUAUCUUCCUUCCUUUCGAUUGUGCAGAUGAUAGUUAGCAUUUGUGUAAUCUUGCUAGGCUAGGACUUAGUAUCAUAUAACUAAACUCCAUGAUUUCGGUUUGCCUUCAUUUAUUUAAGGAUGAAUGAAUCUUUUGUUUUUUUGGGCCAACAAGAUGAAUGAAGCACAAGUUGCCUUAUUUUAUUUCA